UAAAGACCUAACUGCGAGGCUUUUUUGUUUGAAAAAAUCAACUAAAUAUAUCAAGCCGUUUCUAUUUUUAGGCCAUAGGGAUGUGAUUGUAGGUGCUUUCUUUGGAACUGAUAAGAAAACUAAUAAGGUUUGUAGAGUUUAUACCAUAUCCCGAGAUGGUGCCAUUUUUAGCUGGGGAUAUAGUGAAAUGGAUGGAAAUUUUGAUGAACCAUCACUUGCUUCAGAGCCAGAAUCACCAGGUACACCAGAGCAAGGGCAAGGGAACAAUAGAGAAGGUGAUAGUGAUAGCAGGGUCAAAAAAAGAAAGAAUUUUGAUGGG
RNAcentral lists this unclassified non-coding RNA (319 nucleotides) under Hevea brasiliensis (rubber tree). The record is from RNAcentral. Lineage: Eukaryota; Viridiplantae; Streptophyta; Magnoliopsida; Malpighiales; Euphorbiaceae.